Molecule: small nuclear RNA, 106 nt
Organism: Ochotona princeps (American pika)
Lineage: Eukaryota; Metazoa; Chordata; Mammalia; Lagomorpha; Ochotonidae
Source: Ensembl
GUGCUCACUUGGCAGCACAUAUAAUGAAGUAGGAAUGAUACAGAGAAGAUUAGCAUGAUUCCUGCACAAGGAUGACACACACAUUUGUGAAACAUUCCAUAUUUUA